GAUGAACGCUGGCGGCGUGCCUAAUACAUGCAAGUCGAGCGAACGGACGAGAAGCUUGCUUCUCUGAUGUUAGCGGCGGACGGGUGAGUAACACGUGGAUAACCUACCUAUAAGACUGGGAUAACUUCGGGAAACCGGAGCUAAUACCGGAUAAUAUUUUGAACCGCAUGGUUCAAAAGUGAAAGACGGUCUUGCUGUCACUUAUAGAUGGAUCCGCGCUGCAUUAGCUAGUUGGUAAGGUAACGGCUUACCAAGGCAACGAUGCAUAGCCGACCUGAGAGGGUGAUCGGCCACACUGGAACUGAGACACGGUCCAGACUCCUACGGGAGGCAGCAGUAGGGAAUCUUCCGCAAUGGGCGAAAGCCUGACGGAGCAACGCCGCGUGAGUGAUGAAGGUCUUCGGAUCGUAAAACUCUGUUAUUAGGGAAGAACAUAUGUGUAAGUAACUGUGCACAUCUUGACGGUACCUAAUCAGAAAGCCACGGCUAACUACGUGCCAGCAGCCGCGGUAAUACGUAGGUGGCAAGCGUUAUCCGGAAUUAUUGGGCGUAAAGCGCGCGUAGGCGGUUUUUUAAGUCUGAUGUGAAAGCCCACGGCUCAACCGUGGAGGGUCAUUGGAAACUGGAAAACUUGAGUGCAGAAGAGGAAAGUGGAAUUCCAUGUGUAGCGGUGAAAUGCGCAGAGAUAUGGAGGAACACCAGUGGCGAAGGCGACUUUCUGGUCUGUAACUGACGCUGAUGUGCGAAAGCGUGGGGAUCGAACAGGAUUAGAUACCCUGGUAGUCCACGCCGUAAACGAUGAGUGCUAAGUGUUAGGGGGUUUCCGCCCCUUAGUGCUGCAGCUAACGCAUUAAGCACUCCGCCUGGGGAGUACGACCGCAAGGUUGAAACUCAAAGGAAUUGACGGGGACCCGCACAAGCGGUGGAGCAUGUGGUUUAAUUCGAAGCAACGCGAAGAACCUUACCAAAUCUUGACAUCCUUUGACAACUCUAGAGAUAGAGCCUUCCCCUUCGGGGGACAAAGUGACAGGUGGUGCAUGGUUGUCGUCAGCUCGUGUCGUGAGAUGUUGGGUUAAGUCCCGCAACGAGCGCAACCCUUAAGCUUAGUUGCCAUCAUUAAGUUGGGCACUCUAAGUUAACUGCCGGUGACAAACCGGAGGAAGGUGGGGAUGACGUCAAAUCAUCAUGCCCCUUAUGAUUUGGGCUACACACGUGCUACAAUGGACAAUACAAAGGGCAGCGAAACCGCGAGGUCGAGCAAAUCCCAUAAAGUUGUUCUCAGUUCGGAUUGUAGUCUGCAACUCGACUACAUGAAGCUGGAAUCGCUAGUAAUCGUAGAUCAGCAUGCUACGGUGAAUACGUUCCCGGGUCU
This 1372-nucleotide ribosomal RNA is filed under the name uncultured bacterium. RNAcentral's name for it is "bacterial SSU rRNA". It matches the Rfam family "Bacterial small subunit ribosomal RNA", at positions 28 to 1381 of the family's 1533-position model. The record is from RNAcentral.